AGGAAGAUUUGAGGCUGCCGUGAAUCGCCACUGUAACUCGUAGAAAUCAAAGUGCACUUUGGCUAAAUCUGGCUUUUUUCUGAGAGAGGGCUCGCUCAUCCCGUCUAAGCCGGGCGAUGAUAGCUCUGUUGUACAUAACAUAAAGAGCUGCGCCUUAGUAUAGUAUAGUAAAACAAGUUCAGCGGUUACCUGGCAAUGAUACAUGCGCAGACUGUACCUCUAAAGAUCCCACAUGGUUGUCGACGAACCUCGGCGUCUUGACGUGUAUCGAGUGCUCCGGAGUUCAUCGCGGGAUGGGUGUCCACGUUUCUAGAGUCCAGCCAUCACGCUCGACAAUAUAGGCAACGCUGAACUGCUCGUGACUGACUUUUUAUUCUUAUUUUUGUCCAACUAUUGUUUGUUUAAUGUUUAACCAUUUAGAGUUAGACAUGAGGAAGUAGAGACAAGUAAAGCCCUUUUUGGG
Nematostella vectensis (starlet sea anemone) is the source of this 463-nucleotide long non-coding RNA. RefSeq lists it as uncharacterized. The transcript has 4 exons. The record is from RefSeq and is a predicted model, not a curated record. NCBI's taxonomy places the organism in Eukaryota, Metazoa, Cnidaria, Anthozoa, Actiniaria, Edwardsiidae.